UACAGAGGGGGCAAGCGUUUGUUCGGAAUUACUGGGCGUAAAGGGCGCGUAGGCGGCCUUCUAAGUCGAACGUGAAAUCCCUGGGCUCAACCCAGGAACUGCGUCCGAUACUGGAAGGCUUGAAUCCGGGAGAGGGAUGCGGAAUUCCAGGUGUAGCGGUGAAAUGCGUAGAUAUCUGGAGGAACACCGGUGGCGAAGGCGGCAUCCUGGACCGGUAUUGACGCUGAGGCGCGAAAGCCAGGGGAGCAAACGGG
Molecule: ribosomal RNA, 254 nt
Filed under: uncultured bacterium
Lineage: Bacteria
Description: partial 16S ribosomal RNA
Rfam family: Bacterial small subunit ribosomal RNA
Source: RNAcentral